Molecule: ribosomal RNA, 517 nt
Filed under: uncultured bacterium
Lineage: Bacteria
Description: bacterial SSU rRNA
Rfam family: Bacterial small subunit ribosomal RNA
Source: RNAcentral
AAUGAACGCUGGCGGCGUGCCUAACACAUGCAAGUCGAACGAGAAAGCGGGGCUUCGGCCCUGUUAGUAAAGUGGCGCACGGGUGAGUAACGCGUGGGUAACCUACCAUUUCGUCAGGAAUAACGUCUCGAAAGAGGCACUAAUACUUGAUAAGACCACGGAGUCUCUGGACUUUGGGGUAAAAGGCGGUGCAAGCUGCCGCGAAGUGAUGGGCCCGCGUAACAUUAGCUAGUUGGUGGGGUAAUGGCCUACCAAGGCUACGAUGUUUAGCUGGUCUGAGAGGAUGAUCAGCCACACUGGGACUGAAACACGGCCCAGACUCCUACGGGAGGCAGCAGUGAGGAAUUUUGCGCAAUGGGGGAAACCCUGACGCAGCAACGCCGCGUGAGUGAUGAAGGCCUUCGGGUUGUAAAGCUCUGUCGAUCGGAAAGAAACUACGUGGGAGUAACUGCCCACGUAUUGACGGUACCGGUAGAGGAAGCACCGGCUAACUCCGUGCCAGCCGCCGCAGUAAAAC